Long non-coding RNA from Triplophysa dalaica, 2767 nucleotides. RefSeq lists it as uncharacterized. Lineage: Eukaryota; Metazoa; Chordata; Actinopteri; Cypriniformes; Nemacheilidae. The record is from RefSeq and is a predicted model, not a curated record. The transcript is spliced from 3 exons.
UUUUAGAACAGCGCCUGCAGUACAUAUGUACAAAUGUUACUACCCAAUUUCAGCGAUUUAGUUAAAUACUUUCUCCUCGAUGGGAUUUCGUCAGUAACAAGAUAAAAGCUGUGUAUUUAGGUCCAGCUACCUUUCAGAAGUGUCCAAUGCUUAGAUGAAGCCCACCGACCGGUUGAAAGCAACGCAAGUUUUCUGAAAGCCGCGGUGACCUUAAAAAUCAGAUUAGGGCUGAUGUCCCGAAGUGUCCAACGCUUCAGGGGUUCACACUCGAUGUAGUUACAGUCGUAUUCAGGAAAAACAUACUCCCACCAGGCGGCCAGGAGAAGAUAUUGUAUUGAAUGACAUACACAUUUUAGUACCAUGCGGUUUGGAACACAUUUUUGAGUCAGAAUGUACGCCGCGAGUGGUUACUGUCAUCAUACCUACUAUUAGCUGUUCUUCUUUUGUGAAGAAGGUUUUAAAUGGGAAUAUAAACCGUAUAAAACCAGGAGUGGGGAUAAUAUGAGGCUGUGUAUACAUUUAUCUUUGCAAACUGUAACGUUAUCUGGAUGUUGUCCACAUAAACAUUGUGUAAACGCGCUUCUGAUCAGAAUGUUAUCAGCCCAUCUGCGUGUUCUGAUCCAGAGGUAGACGAGGGCGCAUUGUGAUCGGAUCUCAGUGUAAUGUAAACGGAAUUCAGCCAGAUUUUCUUCAUUUUCCGGUACAACUUCACAGAAAACCCCGCACACUAUCAUUAUCUCGUCUGUCCGACAGCAGAGCAGAAGACAAGUAAGCCUUCACCGGAAAGUUUACUCUUGCAGAGGCUAUUUGUGACUGCCAUGAACGGGUUUUAACAGAAAUGUUCCCUCCGGUUAAUAGAUGUGUAAAAACGGCAAUUGCUUGAAUAAAUGUUGCUCAUUAUCUUUCUUAAUAAAAACACACAAAACUACAAAUAAAGUGCAAUGACAUUUGCUUAUAUUAAAAGCACAGACGUUACGAAACAAAUAAUCACACAACACAUCAAGCCAAAAAAUAAUAAGAAACGAAAAUAUUUUUUUAUGUUAGAUAGCCUAUCUUACAAUAAUGUAUAAUAUAAUCAUUUAUCCCCUAAACACAGAGGAUGUCUACCCGACAAACCCAGUGAACACUCAGACCUCCUUUCCUCUAUUCAUACUCCUGACUGCUCCAUCUGUCAAUGAGUGAUCGUGGGAAAUGGCAUACUGUGUUGGUAUUAUAAAGCGAAUCUGAAUUUUGUUGUCGCAAUUAAAUGUAAUCUGCUUACAUGUAAUGUCAAAAUAUUUUGGUGCGGUGCGUUAUUGCCAACAAAUAAAUAGCCUAAAAAACAAUGGAAUACGAACAAAAACGUUUAUGUUAAUAAAUGAUGGGAAUACGAAACAAAAUGUUUAUGUUAAAUAAAUAAAUAAAUAAAUAGGCUAACAAACGAAGAAAGGCCUAUGAAACUAAAAACUUUGUUUAAUAGAUGGCAAAGCACCGGCUUUUAAAAAUUAUACCAAAUAAAAUUCAUAGUUAAGUGACAUGUGCACUGCUUACAUUCUACUGCAUGUGUUUAACAGAACAGCCUCCGCCAUCAUCUUCUCAAUCAGCACUUCACUCUCCUCACGCGACGGAUAAAGUCUGACUCAUGAGCAACAGUUUGGUCUUUAACUAAAUUAAGUGACAAUUACUAUAAACAUGCAAAAUGACGGUGAAGUCAGUGCCGGUGGACAAAUGAUGUAAUCUAUAGACGAGUGGACAUCACCGGUGACACAGACUAUCGCAACAAGUCUGCACUGCGGCGUUUUAAACGCAUCAUUUGAUUAUUUUCAUCACAGACAAGAAUACACUCUAAAAAAUGCUGGGUUAUUUGUUUAACCCAACAGCUGGGUUGAGCCUGUUGGGUCAUUUUGUUGGGUUAUUUUCUUAGUGUUGGGUCAUUUUACGAGUAACCCAAACGCUGGGUUACCAGUCUGGUCCAAUUGAGUGACAGUUGAGAGAGUAAACCCCUCCCACUCCUCUACGCAUCAGACAAACUUUACCUUCGCGGGCAUUUUGAUCCACUUCAUCUCGGAAAGCUGUUAUUCGGAGAAUAAAAGAUCCCACUCUUCUUUCCCCCCCCACUGACAGGUUGCAGAAUGACAGCUAAAAUUAAUGGAUCAUUCUAUUCAAGAGAAUGUCAACUGGAACGUGGAUGUUUUCAUAACAGGCUUAAAGAUGAACAAAUUGAUAAAGAAACCCUCCUGCUGGACAUCCACUUCCAAAAGUGCACACCACACUGUUGUCUACAACUCCCAGGAAAAGAAUCCUCUUUAGUAAGACUGCUCCGUGGAUAUGUCAGGUUAAGCAGUGCUGAAACCGAAAGAACUAACACUAUUUAAAAUGUUUUGUGAGUUUAUAUGAAGAGGAAAGUUACGGUGUCCCUUUUUCACAUCCAUAACGCUUGUUUAUUUCUUUUUUUAUAGAAAACUUGUGCAUAGACUUAUAUUUUAACAUAUAAAUGCAGUUCUAUUAACAAGGGUUUAGUAAAAUACUUUUUAUAGCGUUUUGAAGUGUUAAGUUGUCUAACUAUUUAUAUUUACUUGUGCCACUUUAAUAACCUUGUUAAAUGUAUAUGUUAAAAUCUAAACUAAUGUAAUUUAUUGAAAUUAAUGUUCUUUAAAUAUGUAUAAACAUACAUUUCAUCAAAGUGUUUUAUAUGCCAUUUUAUUGUUCAUUGAGCAUAACAUAUUGCAUGUUUUUAUGAAUUCCUUUUGUCUUGCAUUUUGAUCCUUAAUAAAACUAUUGAUUCUUA